Molecule: small nuclear RNA, 173 nt
Filed under: Xenopus tropicalis (tropical clawed frog)
Lineage: Eukaryota; Metazoa; Chordata; Amphibia; Anura; Pipidae
Description: U2 spliceosomal RNA (ENSXETG00000047013.1)
Rfam family: U2 spliceosomal RNA
About the family: U2 is a small nuclear RNA (snRNA) component of the spliceosome (involved in pre-mRNA splicing).
Source: Rfam by way of RNAcentral
AAAGUUUUUGAGAUAAAAAAUCUGUUCUUAUCAGUUUAAUAUCUGAUACGUCCCCUAUCUGGGGACCAUAUAUUAAAUGGAUUUUUGGAACAGGGAGAUGGAAGAAGAGCUUGCUCUGUCCACUCCACGCAUCGACCUGGUAUUGCAGUACCUCCAGGACCGGUGCACCUCUC